CGCUGGCGGCGUGCCUAACACAUGCAAGUCGAGCGAGAAAGUUCCUUCGGGAGACGAGUACAGCGGCGGACGGGUGAGUAACACGUGAACAACCUACCUUGAGACAGGAUAACAGCGGGAAACCGUUGCUAAUACCUGAUAUGAUCAUAGUAUCGCAUGAUAUUGUGAGGAAAGGAUUUAUUGCUCAAGGAUGGGUUCGCGUCCCAUUAGCUAGUUGGUGGGGUAAAGGCCUACCAAGGCGACGAUGGGUAGCCGGCCUGAGAGGGUGUCCGGCCACACUGGAACUGAGACACGGUCCAGACUCCUACGGGAGGCAGCAGUGGGGAAUUUUGCGCAAUGGGGGAAACCCUGAACCGCAGCGACGCCGCGUGAGCGAAGAAGGUUUUCGGAUCGUAAAGCUCUGUCACAGGGGAAGAUAAUGACGGUACCCUGGGAGGAAGCCCCGGCUAACUACGUGCCAGCAGCGGC
This 468-nucleotide ribosomal RNA is filed under the name uncultured bacterium. RNAcentral describes it as "bacterial SSU rRNA". It matches the Rfam family "Bacterial small subunit ribosomal RNA", at positions 34 to 518 of the family's 1533-position model. The record is from RNAcentral.